RNAcentral lists this ribosomal RNA (425 nucleotides) under uncultured prokaryote. Its description in RNAcentral is "bacterial SSU rRNA". It matches the Rfam family "Bacterial small subunit ribosomal RNA", at positions 355 to 796 of the family's 1533-position model. The record is from RNAcentral.
CAGGGAAUCUUGCACAAUGGACGAAAGUCUGAUGCAGCGACGCCGCGUGGGGGAUGAAGGCCCUAGGGUCGUAAACCCCUUUCAGUGGGGACGAAACUGACGGUACCCACAGAAGAAGGUCCGGCCAACUACGUGCCAGCAGCCGCGGUAAGACGUAGGGACCGAGCGUUGUCCGGGAUUAUUGGGCGUAAAGAGCUCGUAGGCGGUUGCGUUAGUCGGAUGUGAAAACUCAGGGCUCAACCCUGAGACGCCAUCCGAUACUGCGCUGACUCGAAUCCAGUAGGGGUGUGUGGAAUUCCUGGUGUAGCGGUGAAAUGCGCAGAUAUCAGGAGGAACACCUAUGGCGAAGGCAGCACGCUGGGCGGGUAUUGACGCUGAGGAGCGAAAGCAUGGGUAGCAAACAGUAUUAGAUACCCCCGUAGUCC